UGCCAGACUCCUACGGGAGGCAGCAGUGGGGAAUAUUGCACAAUGGGGGAAACCCUGAUGCAGCGACGCCGCGUGAGCGAUGAAGUAUUUCGGUAUGUAAAGCUCUAUCAGCAGGGAAGAAAAUGACGGUACCUGACUAAGAAGCCCCGGCUAACUACGUGCCAGCAGCCGCGGUAAUACGUAGGGGGCAAGCGUUAUCCGGAUUUACUGGGUGUAAAGGGAGCGUAGACGGCAUGGCAAGUCAGAUGUGAAAGCCCGGGGCUCAACCCCGGGACUGCAUUUGAAACUGUCAGGCUGGAGUGCAGGAGAGGUAAGUGGAAUUCCUAGUGUAGCGGUGAAAUGCGUAGAUAUUAGGAGGAACACCAGUGGCGAAGGCGGCUUACUGGACUGUAACUGACGUUGAGGCUCGAAAGCGUGGGGAGCAAACAGGAUUAGAUACCCCGGUAAU
This 448-nucleotide ribosomal RNA is filed under the name uncultured bacterium. Its description in RNAcentral is "partial 16S ribosomal RNA". It matches the Rfam family "Bacterial small subunit ribosomal RNA", at positions 329 to 794 of the family's 1533-position model. The record is from RNAcentral.